This 71-nucleotide transfer RNA is filed under the name Hirundo atrocaerulea. RNAcentral describes it as "tRNA-Leu". It matches the Rfam family "tRNA". From Rfam's summary of the family: Transfer RNA (tRNA) molecules are approximately 80 nucleotides in length. Their secondary structure includes four short double-helical elements and three loops (D, anti-codon, and T loops). Lineage: Eukaryota; Metazoa; Chordata; Aves; Passeriformes; Hirundinidae. The record is from RNAcentral.
ACUUUCAAAGGAUAACAGCAAUCUAAUGGCCUUAGGAGCCAUUCAUCCUGGUGCAAAUCCAGGUGAAAGUA